Molecule: long non-coding RNA, 649 nt
Filed under: Nilaparvata lugens (brown planthopper)
Lineage: Eukaryota; Metazoa; Arthropoda; Insecta; Hemiptera; Delphacidae
Description: uncharacterized LOC120354412
Source: RNAcentral
AUUUUUCUCUUUUCGAAGAAGUCAACGAACGGUGCUGGUAUUCGUUCGUCUUCAUUAGUUCAUUUGCCUCUUCACUUAACAACAUUUAGAAGUAGCAUCACGCUAAUUUCGAGAUUGAUUUCUGAGAUUGUAAUAGAAUUGGCAGAUAGAUUUGGAUAAAUAGAUAGGCUUAGUAAUAGAUUUUUGAGUAAAUAGGUUUGAUAAAUAGGGAAUUGAUUAAUAGAGAGUAGAUUAGGUAGUUCAUUGAGUUUCUGUCAGUUAUAUUGUAUCUGUUGUGUUUCUGCGGUGACUGUGUCUGUUCACUGUUCAGGUGGACUUCUCACAGUCAUAAACUAGGGGGAGAGAAUGUGGAGACACCGCUCGUCCGGCUGACAACGAAUGAAGUUGCCACCAACUUCUGCAGGGGUGGCGGGAAAGGGAAGAGGUUCCUAAACAGCCUUCUGAUAAACACAAUUCUGGAGAAAGUUGUUGCUGCGUCUCUGGAGAUUUCAUGAGCAAGCUGUUUGAAACCAGGGUGUAAGAGUGGCUCCAGCAGGCUGGGACCAGAAUGCAAUUUAUUAAAAACUUCAAAAAAUAAUAGAAUUGACUAGAAUUUAUUUGUCACGUUUUAUGAGAUUGUAGUGGAAUAAAAAUGUAUUUUUAAGUUGUA